UAGAUUUUUUUUCAACACAGCAUUAAAUGCAGAAUUUAAUUAGUAGGCAAAUCAUAUCCUAUCAUCUAACAGAGAAUAUUUUUAAAAGAUAAGUCUCCACUAGCAUCUUAUCACUUGCAUCCUUGUAUAUGUACACAUUUACGAAUCAUUCACACACCUCACGUCCAAACCCCCACCUAUAUUAGUCACGACAAAAAUCUCAUAAAUUCAAAAUCGGAGGAAACCAACGUAGAGAAAUCUCCUUGCAAUCGCAACUGCUCAAUCAAGCAAAAAGUUUGAGGAAAAAGAAAAAUAACAAAACUGUCUAGAAUCCAAUUCCUUUUGCUGCUAGGCAAUUUCUCCUCUCCGAAGGUGAAACCUCGCAAGCGAAAUGUGAUACCAAGGGGAAGAAAAUACUUGUGAACUAAACGAUCAAGGUUGAGCAGCGAAGUGGUGG
This is a long non-coding RNA of Salvia splendens (bonfire salvia), 436 nucleotides long. RefSeq lists it as uncharacterized. The record is from RefSeq and is a predicted model, not a curated record. The transcript has 4 exons. Lineage: Eukaryota; Viridiplantae; Streptophyta; Magnoliopsida; Lamiales; Lamiaceae.